AGAGUUUGAUUCUGGCUCAGGACGAACGCUGGCGGCGUGCCUAAUACAUGCAAGUCGAACGGAGAUAUACGCUGAAGAUUUAGCUUGCUAUUGAUUCUUGUAUAUCUUAGUGGCGGACGGGUGAGUAACGCGUGAGCAACCUGCCUUUCAGAGGGGGAUAACGUUUGGAAACGAACGCUAAUACCGCAUGACAUUAUUGAGCUGCAUGGCUUGAUAAUCAAAGGAGCAAUCCGCUGAAAGAUGGGCUCGCGUCCGAUUAGGUAGUUGGUGAGGUAACGGCCCACCAAGCCGACGAUCGGUAGCCGGACUGAGAGGUUGGACGGCCACAUUGGGACUGAGACACGGCCCAGACUCCUACGGGAGGCAGCAGUAAGGGAUAUUGGUCAAUGGGGGAAACCCUGAACCAGCAACGCCGCGUGAGGGAAGACGGUUUUCGGAUUGUAAACCUCUGUCCUCUGUGAAGAUGAUGACGGUAGCAGAGGAGGAAGCUCCGGCUAACUACGUGCCAGCAGCCGCGGUAAUACGUAGGGAGCGAGCGUUGUCCGGAUUUACUGGGUGUAAAGGGUGCGUANGCGGCUAUGCAAGUCAGUAGUGAAAUCCAUGGGCUUAACCCAUGAACUGCUAUUGAAACUGCACAGCUUGAGUG
Molecule: ribosomal RNA, 646 nt
Filed under: uncultured bacterium
Lineage: Bacteria
Description: bacterial SSU rRNA
Rfam family: Bacterial small subunit ribosomal RNA
Source: RNAcentral